Long non-coding RNA from Daphnia magna, 2936 nucleotides. RefSeq lists it as uncharacterized. The record is from RefSeq and is a predicted model, not a curated record. The transcript has 9 exons. Lineage: Eukaryota; Metazoa; Arthropoda; Branchiopoda; Diplostraca; Daphniidae.
UUCGAGAAGGUUGAGACAACAAGGCAGAUUGCAAAGAUAGGAAAGAUUGGGUCAAUUGAAAACAUUGCAUUGUCGAUACCUUGUACCUGCCAAUCUUUUACGAUUCAACAUUCCUUACUUUGCUAAUUUAACUGCUGAAAUGCUUCUCACAAUCAUGCAGGUAAAAAAAUGUUUAGCUCUUUACCUGUAAAUGUUUAAAAUUAAAUGUUAGCCGUUCCACAAUGAACGUGCUAUUUUGGCCGCUCAGUACACACGAAGCGUGCUGUCAGGAUUGUUUAUUUUUUCAAAAUUUACUUAAUUUGUUUCUGUUUUUAGUUAGGUAUUUAAAAUUGCGCAAACUAAGAUUAACUAUAUACAGAGGUUACGGCUGCGCUGAAUUCUAGGGGGCAAUAGCAUUAGCAAACACUGGAGACCCCCAUAAUUCUGGGGGGUAAUAGCAUUUUAGGUCGCUAGAGGCCCCCAGAAUUCUGGGGGUAAUAGGUGUGACCUUUUGGCUCUUCUUUUUAAGUCGUUGUUGGACACGAAAAAAAAUUCACUAUCGAAAUUUAAUUUCCUUUGUUUCAUUUGUCUUUGCAACAACCGAAAGAUUUGUGUAGGAAAUGUUGGUGACAUGGAUCGAUUAACAUAGUUAAUUGAGCCUUCGAUUGGUAACAGCAGAACAGCCAACAGUCUGUCAGAGGGGUCAGUGUGAGAUAAUGCAGAUUCCUACUUCCUAGCAACUCAGUAUUCGUUACUGUUCUUUUAUAAAAGUAUUUGCGAGGAAGGAUUGGUUUCGGGAUAGGGAGCCCUCAGCAAAUACAACAACGGGCAGAUAUUCAGGUUGUAGCACAAAACUUGAUAUUUAGUACAACCAUGAUUCUUCACAAACACCUAUACAGUAUGGAAAGCUUGACAGGAAAAUGAGGAUGAGUAAAAAAGGCCAAAUGUGAGACAUGGAAAAGGUCUGACAUAAUGGGCAUUUUGUUCACGCAGAUUUGGAACUUAAAAAAGAAAUCUGUUCUCAGUGAAAAGAUGAGAACUAUCUAUUGCGCAACAUUACGGAAUCCAAAGAUUCCUUACAGGUGACAUAGGUUAAUAUGGUCAUCAAGCUUCCACCUCCAUGUAUUGUACUGUACUCCAUUUAUCCAAAAUCCAUAUGUCAGCCGACUUACCUUCCUGGUUGCAAUGAAGAAGAAUCAUUAGUUGAAAGUAUUAAAAGAAGAUACCAUAUUGUGUGUUUAUUUUGAUAUAUCUCCUUACAGAUGAAGAGGUUAACAUGGUCAUCAGGCAUCCACCUCCAUGUACUGUACUGUAUUCCUUUUAUGUGAAAACCAUAUGUCAGCUGACUUGCCUUUCUGGUUGCAAUGAAGAAGAACCAUUAGAGUCAAAAUUAUUAAAUGGUGAUGCCAUAUUGUGCGUUCCUUUUGAAAUAUCUUUUUUCACAUUUCUUUAAGUAUUUACCCUAAUUUUCCUGUAACCUUGGUAACGAUUUAUUAAGAGGACAUCACUUGAUGAUACCCGGGAAAAGCAAUCACUACUGGGACGGAAAAUCACAGUACACGGGUCACAGUGUAAUAAUUUUUUUAGGAUGCCGACUGGGCUAAUUCCGCAUUUUUUAAUCAUCCUUGCUUUGUUGUUACAUUUCCUAUACUGCAGAGUAUAGUUUGACAGAUGUAUUCAAUCACUAUCACAGCCCACGCAAGAAUUUCAGCAAUAUCUGUAUCGUAGUAACGGACGACAAUAGCCCUCUGCAAUCUUCUUCCAUUCUACUAUUUCACCUCUAUUCCAUUGAUUCGAAGUUCAUUCCAACAGAAACAGUCUCACGUUCGAAAAUGUUUCUAUGCAGCGCAACGGAUCACUCAGAGCCACUUUUUUCAGUCUUGGGACAAGUGAAAUUCAAACCGGACGAGACCUAACGACGAAGCCUAAGAAACGGGAAAAGAGGAAUUAUUUUGCGAACAAGAAUGAUUUUUUUUUUUUAAUUUCACAUCUUGUAAACUAUCCAAAUCUCACACACCUUAGGGUUUUAUUCUGUCAUAAGUUUACUACAAUUUACACACUGGAUAUUUUACAAUUGCAUUUUGUGUGUAUAUUGGAGUAGGUCUUUCAUAGUAUAAAACCCCAAGCCAUGUGAUUUAUUCUCUAUCCGGAGAAAAAAAAAGUUUAAAAGAUGUGAAAUUUUAAAAUUUUAAUCAUUGUUUGCUAAUGUCUAUGACACGAUUUCUAUCUAUAACGAAAACGAUCUGCCUCGUAUGGAGAUCGAAGUAAAAUGUUCUGUUACGAAGGCUUCGCGAUCUAGACAGCUUUUUUCUCUGCAUUUGAUCAACCUGAACGUAAAAUCAAGUUUUGGCAAAAUUAAGAAAAAAGUUUCCUAUCUUGGGAGUUUAAACUGGCUGUUAAGGAAGUUAGAUACGAUGCCGAAGCUUAUGUCAUGACAGCGGGUAAAAAGAGCAAGUCGUCGGCUAAAAGAUUGCCUUGAAAUCUUAAGCCUUAUUGAAUAUUAGGUAUUGUGUUACAAUUGAAGAGCGUGUUAGAGCAACCAAAAAUGUGUGAUCGUUCGGAAGUCAUCUAUUUAAAGCGUUUUUACAAAUUGUCGAUACGAGACAAGCUUCACGCAUUCGCUGUAUUUCCCCGCGGAUUAAAUAUGGCCCCUUAUUUAUUUGAUCCAAGUCCACUAAUACCGUUGAUGCCUUCAUCAGUGUCUGUAUGAAGGAGUCGGUGGUGGAUACUGUACAAGAUUAUAAUCGUAGUCAAUCGACAGAGGAUAUUGAUGGAGGUCAGGUGUAAACAGUAACUGAAAUUCGUUGGAGGAGGGACCGAAGGUUUCCAGAUUCUUUUAUUUUCCCACGUGUUUUGGUAUUUUUACACAAAAAAAUUAAGUGCAUAUCUGGGCUCCCUUCUUUUCUGUGGCCCCGUUUCCCCUUGACUUAUGAUAAGCCCGUAGGGGGUCAUGCCCC